Molecule: long non-coding RNA, 185 nt
Organism: Oxyura jamaicensis (ruddy duck)
Lineage: Eukaryota; Metazoa; Chordata; Aves; Anseriformes; Anatidae
Exons: 3
Source: RefSeq, a predicted model, not a curated record
UCCUAUCCAUGAAUGUUUUAGGAAAAAAAAGACAAAAAAGACAACCCUGAAUUUAUUUUCACUAGCUAUUAAAGAUUUAUAUUAAAUGUAAAGAAUAGGGAACACCAAAUUCCUACAUAUUAUUAUGUUCUAUUAAGGAAUGAAUUAUGCUACCAUUGAUUCCUUCCGUGGAUGAAAUUCAUCAA